Gossypium arboreum is the source of this 144-nucleotide non-coding RNA. The record is from Rfam. NCBI's taxonomy places the organism in Eukaryota, Viridiplantae, Streptophyta, Magnoliopsida, Malvales, Malvaceae.
UAUUAAAAUUUUCAUCCAUUUGUACUGUUAAAAACUGGUAUAACUGACAAUUUAACCAGAUAAUGACAUGUGAUGUGUCACGUAUAUCUAAGGCUAACAUAUAUGGACCAGUUUUUAUCAGUAAAAACGAUGAAAAUUUUAACA